RNAcentral lists this ribosomal RNA (468 nucleotides) under uncultured bacterium. Its description in RNAcentral is "partial 16S ribosomal RNA". It matches the Rfam family "Bacterial small subunit ribosomal RNA", at positions 28 to 507 of the family's 1533-position model. The record is from RNAcentral.
GACGAACGCUGGCGGCGUGCUUAACACAUGCAAGUCGAACGGAAAGGCCCUGCUUUUGUGGGGUGCUCGAGUGGCGAACGGGUGAGUAAAACGUGAGUAACCUGCCCUUGACUUUGGGAUAACUUCAGGAAACUGGGGCUAAUACCGGAUAGGAGCUCCUGCUGCAUGGUGGGGGUGGGAAAGUUUCGGCGGUUGGGGAUGGACGCGCGGCCUAUCAGCUUGUUGGUGGGGUAGUGGCUUACCAAGGCUUUGACGGGUAGCCGGCCUGAGAGGGUGACCGGCCACAUUGGGCCUGAGGUACCGCCCAGACUCCUACGGGAGGCAGCAGUGGGGAAUAUUGCACAAUGGGCGGAAGCCUUAUGCAGCAUCUCCGCGUGCUGGAUGACGGCCUUCGGGUUGUAAACCGCUUUCGCCUGUGACGAAGCGUGAGUGACGGUAAUGGGUAAAGAAGCACCGGCUAACUACGUG